UACGUAGGAGGCGAGCGUUGUCCGGAAUUACUGGGUGUAAAGCGCGCGUAGGUGGUAGGCCAAGUCUGUGGUGAAAGCCCCCGGCUCAACUGGGGAGGGUCACGCGAUACUGCUCGACUUGAAGGCAGGAGAGGGAAGUGGAAUUCCCGGUGUAGUGGUGAAAUGCGUAGAUAUCGGGAGGAACACCAGUGGCGAAGGCGACUUCCUGGCCUGUUCUUGACGCUGAGGCGCGAAAGCUAGGGUAGCAAACGGG
Molecule: ribosomal RNA, 253 nt
Filed under: uncultured bacterium
Lineage: Bacteria
Description: partial 16S ribosomal RNA
Rfam family: Bacterial small subunit ribosomal RNA
Source: RNAcentral